This is a long non-coding RNA of Spinacia oleracea (spinach), 471 nucleotides long. RefSeq lists it as uncharacterized. NCBI's taxonomy places the organism in Eukaryota, Viridiplantae, Streptophyta, Magnoliopsida, Caryophyllales, Amaranthaceae. The transcript has 2 exons. The record is from RefSeq and is a predicted model, not a curated record.
GAACAGUCUCCAACGACAGAGGAUUAGGAGCUUUCUAGGGAACACGAAUGAUGGAAAUUGGGAAAAAGCACGAUUCUGGCGGUCUUCUUUGGAAGCGAAUCAAGCUAACUUCUACUCGCAAGGCUAACACCAAGAAGCGCCUUCGUCGUAGUUGGCAGGCUCUGAAGUUACAUAUAGGAAGAUUUUCAAUAACCUCUUAUGUUGAAAACUCAAGUUUUCGAAGGUAUUCGUUUCAUUUAUUAUCACCAGAGAUCACCUGGUCCAACUGCCCUCAUGUAGAAACUCCCCAAGGUUGCAAGAAUUAUAUAUUACAGGAUGAGAGAAAUUAUCAGCACCGAAUCCAGCAAUUUUUAGUCAUAAAGUUGAGCCUUCUAUUUUGAAUGUGGCAACCUUUAAAUGUUACUUUUAAAAACAAAAGUAUAUCAAAACUAGUUAUUAUUGAUUUGUUUAACGCAUGGCAGCUUUGCUGUA